AUAGAAGACAACGGUGGAGAUGGUGAUGAUGUCACUAACCCUACGUUCGCCGCGACGAACAAAACCCGUAUAAUCUGUUUUGUUCUACAGUACAGCCAUCUCCAUGUAUGUGUGUUGCUUUUGAAGUGGAAGAAUGCCUGUAUGUCUUCUUGUUGAGUGAAACCAGCUUCUCUUCCACUGCUUCCAUAGUUGUGAUCAAGGUCUCGUAUGAAUGAAAUUGAAGACAGAAGUUCAGUGAUAGUUAGUAGAUGAGGUGAAAACAUUGUAUAGUUCAUUUUGACUUGUGUACCCCCUUUUUUUUAAUACCAAAAACAGAGCAGCAUCUUCAAUAAACAAGCCAUUCCAGACAAUUGCUACAUACUAGGCUGACAGCUAGAGGCAGGCAAAUGACUGAGAUACCCUCUCAAUCGGACCAAGCUCCCUCCAAUAGGCAGUUGAAGGAGGAAUGACAGAAGCGCAAUGCCCACCAGAUGUGCUGGGACAGGGGAAGAUAGGGUAGAGCUAUCCAAUGACAAGAAGAAGCCCUUGGAGAAAAUACAUUAAGCCCAUGGGUUACAGCUACCACCACUGUAAAACACAACAAGAACUGGAGAGGCCUGAGAGCAACUGUACAACAGGCUUCAAUCCCAGCCACCAGAAUCACCCAUCCUAAGCAUAACAACCAGCAAGGCUGUGGAGCUUGUUUUCGCCUGAUAAUUACUUACUGGGUAAAUGUCUACGUAGAGUUCUGAACCCCUUAUUAAAUAUGCAUUUUCUUGUGGUUGUUAAAUGGAUACAAGUUAAUGUGAUUUUGACAAGAAAACACAAUUCAAUAGGAGUUCCAUUAGUUUAUGUUGGAUUAAUCAGAGACUAAGCGUAUAAAUGGUGAAUUCUAUAAAAAAAAAAAAAUCUCGUGAUUCAGAAGAAAAAAAGCUGUGACCAAAGUUUGACACUGGCCACCAACUUGAUGCAACCCUCCUUUAUUUAGGCCUGGAACCCGUUAGAAGAGAAUAUAAUAUACCUUCAUCUAUGUAUUUCUAGUAGUGCAUGUAGAUGCUGGAUUUUUGCCUAUUUCUGGUUUACUUGUGGGUGAUAUUUUUGUAGAUGUAUAUUUCUAUCAUAUGUGACUUUAUUUCUGUACUCUACAUGGCACACAAUGAUAUUUGGUCUGAGGAAAGGUUCCCUUUGUAAUGUAGGCAUGGGUGUUUUCCAUGGGCCACUGUAUUAUUUGCCUUUUGGGGUUCUUCUUAAUAAAAGUUUCCAUCAUCAUCUAAGCCUUAUCCCAACUAAUUGUGGUCGGUUAAUAAAACUGUUUAUCAAUUAAAGAAAAGGACAGUCUAAAAUAGAAAGUUUGGGGAUAUCCUAAAACAAAGAAAAAAAAAAAAAGAAGAAAAGAAGAAAUGGGAAUAUCAGCUUUGCUGAAUAUUUUAUAUUUUUAGAUCUUUUGUUAGCAACUUUUGUUUCAUCAGGUAUGUUAAGUCGGGUCCUUACUCAUGCCUCAGAGGUAGACUCACGAGAGUUUCAACACAAGGUCAUGGGUUCGAGUACCCAUCGUGAUAUAAAAAAGCCACUGUGGUUUGAGUGCAUGGGUGUGUGUGGGGUGUGAGUGCAUGUGUAAAAAAAAGGGUAUGUAAGUUUUGAGCCAUGGUGUAACUUGGUUAUUCAAUUUCAGGAUCCACAUAAUUUCAAUCAUCGUGCAUUUCAAAAGGCAGUAUGUGGAAUGAGAAAUUUGGAUUAGUCUUUCCUAUUGUUUUUGGUGCCAUAAAUCUAUAUACCCUUCUUUCCCCUGUACAUGGCAUUGAUCUGUUUAUUUUGUUUUAUUAUAUUUCAUGCUAAUGGGUGAGCAAUUUUCGCUGUAUACUUGCCCGAUAUGCAACUCUAGACAUGGUUCCCUUUAGUGCUAUAAGGUAGGUUGGUAAAUCUACUUGGACUAGGAGGCAUUUCCAGAGAGUUGUAAAUUGCUGGUCAUUAUGAAUUCAUGUUGCUAAAUGGGUGAUGACGUAUGUUGCCAAUGACUGUUACAUAUGCUUGGAUUAUCAUAAUAAUCUACUGCAACAUUUUAGUGAAAGACUUCUUAUUUUCUUUUUAGAAUUUGUUAGCUUAUAAUGAAUAUGGGUACAUUUUUAAUCUUUUCUUUAGUACAGUCACAUAUGACAGUCAUGAUGAAUAGAUUUUAAGUCUUUGUCGAAGUUCCCCAUUCAUUUCCUAGUAGGCACAAUGUCCCAACAUACCAAUAUAUUGCACUUCUCCACAGCUCCCAUGCUGGAUUAUAUAAUGGAAUAAUAUAGGGAGACACCCAAUUCCAGAGGCCUUUCGAUUGGUCCUGUGGGAUGGGGCCUUCAAAACCAUCUCCUUUUUCUAUUGUAUCCCUACAUUGCUAUUCCACAUCAUCUACAUCAGGACUCUUAACUGUGUUCAUUUUCAUUGACACAGGCUUUUCUUUUAUAGGGCUCUCUUUGGACAAGGAUGCUCGAAAAACUCUUGGAUUGAACAUUGCAACCUGUUGAUUAUACCAUGGCGACCAUUCAUUUUCAAACCAAAAUAGCCAAAUUAUCCAAGUGUGGAAUAAUCAAUUGAGCAUCCAUUUGUUGUCUUUUCCACCAUACAAAGUGGGAUGUGAUGUUAACAGUUUGGACUGUUGGAAGACGACCCGGAUUCAAAGGCUAAAGCCCUGAUGUGUCAUAUUGCAAUAAUUGGCAUUUUCAAAUGAUGUAAGAUUACCUGCUGGUGCAUGAAUGGAUAUUUCCACCGGUGAGGUCUGCUAAUCCAACUCAUGUCUACAUGGCGGCUCAUAUACCUGGCAUUGCAUGUGAGAAUAUGGCACACAGGUUCUAGAUCGAAGCUGUCCAUUAGGUGGUUCACACUGUUUACAUGCCCAUGCUGAAAAUCAGGCUGAUCUGAUGACCGAACUCCACUAAGUUUCUUUGAAGAGAAGGCACCAAGAUCCCGUGCUUUGGAUAAAUAUAAGUUUGGGCAGUCCAUUGAACACACAUGCCAGUUCAUUGAGAAGCUGGAGAAAGAGCUGGAAGACACUACUAUAGGCACAUUUCUCUCUACAGAAGGGUAAAGAGGCUCCUGCUGAAAAUCCCGUAGCUAAUAUCUGAUGUUAUUUUCCUUUUUCUAUUUUUAUUUCUAUGGAAAUAACCUUUUCUCAAUGAAAUUAAAAAGGAUAAAAAAAAACUCUCCA
Long non-coding RNA from Magnolia sinica, 3166 nucleotides. RefSeq lists it as uncharacterized. The transcript has 4 exons. The record is from RefSeq and is a predicted model, not a curated record. Lineage: Eukaryota; Viridiplantae; Streptophyta; Magnoliopsida; Magnoliales; Magnoliaceae.